Molecule: long non-coding RNA, 6599 nt
Organism: Loxodonta africana (African savanna elephant)
Lineage: Eukaryota; Metazoa; Chordata; Mammalia; Proboscidea; Elephantidae
Exons: 3
Source: RefSeq, a predicted model, not a curated record
UAAGUUAAAUUAAUCACUUAAAAGCAAUGUUAUCUUUACGUAUUGAUUUCUGUUCAAGGAUGUUGAGCAAAUAGGGAUUAGUAAAACAACAUUGUUCUCAAAAUAUGAGCAGUUUAAUGCAAGCUGUCACAGAAAUUAUAGCUGCCCUGCUAAAUACAAAAUAUUAUAUUCUUUAACUAGCAAGUCUGCACUAAUGCUGAACUAAUUGGAUAUGACUCAAAAAGUGACCACCAUGUUGGAUUAAUAAAAAAAAUUAGUAUGUUACAUAGCAUAGGAAGUGACGGAAAUCUUUUAAUUCUUAGUGAAAAUCAACCAACAAUUUUUGUAUCUUCCCAGGCAUUUGUUGAGUGUGAAAUAUCUAUCAGUUAGCACUGGACAGUGAUCCCACACACAUGGGUCCUCCCAUAAAUGUUCCUCUUCUAUCGUUACACCCCAAUAGCAGGAAAUGACAGAGCAUCGAGAGAGAGGAAGAAGGCUGUGUGCUGGGCAGUGUAGAUCCAAAAACCCAAACCCAGUGCCGUCGAGUCGAUUCCGACUCAUAGCUACCCUAUAGGGUAGUCGCUAUAGAGUAGAACUGCCCCACAGAGUUUCCAAGGAGCACCUGGCAGAUUUGAACUGAAGACCCUUUGGUUAGCAGCCAUAAAAUGUCCCCGGAAGUAAAGAAUGUCAGUGACUCGGUGGUGGAAGGAUAAAAGUCAAGAAGGCACACAGUGAUGAGAUGCUGGCGGUCAGGGAGGACGUCGACAGCCCACAAUGUUAUCCCGCAACAGGAACAAGGUCAGGCAGCCACCUGGAUGAACACAUCAAGAUCCUACUUCUCUUAAAUCUGUGUCCAGAUCUUGAGUGGACCCAGCUCUGAACACGAUACUUCAAGGACGUUAGUAAACUCAACUCUACCUAAAGGGGGUGUUAAAAAAAAAGGGGGGGGGUGUUAUGGAGCAGAAAACCAUGUCAUAAGAGAACUGGUUAAAGAAAUUGAGGAGCUGAAUGGAGAUUAGAUUUCUAUUUAGGUUCCAAAGAUGAAUUAGGAGAAAUGAAUAAGUUUUAGGAAUACAGCAAGUAUGAGUUUCUUAAAAAUGUUUUUAAAUAGUUUGGGUGAAUAUAAAAAUAAUACAGACUUCCCAUUAAACAUGAGAGAUUGCCCAUGAACUUUUAUAUCCUCACUCUGCGGGAGCCCUGGUAAAAAUACAGGAAAGAAUGGGAAAGGUAGAAACCCAUUAAGAUAAUGAGAGAAGAAACAAUAGCAGAAGAGAGAUUUUAUUCAAUGUGGAGGACCAGAAAGCAAAUUGGAAAGCAGUUAGUGGGGAAGGAGAAAGAGGGGGUUUCCAACAAGAAAAUGAACCAUUAGUCACCCAGAUGAACUUGAAAUGGCCUAGGAUUUUGAGGUACCACGUGCUGUAGAAUAAGGCAUGAAGCUGAAAACAGAAGUUUGAGAGGCUUUACACGGAGGAGUUGGAUGCGUGUUUCCUGACCCCCAGGCCCUGCAGCCAGGCAGCACCUCCAACUCAUCACUCCACUGUCAACAGACAUUUAUUACCCUGGAGACGGAUGGAGCACAGAAGGAACUUGGAACCAUUCAGUGAAGGAAAUUCAGAGAAACAUCAUUUCAGUUUAGCUAAACUGACACAGUACAAAGUCACCCCUGGAAGAAAAACAAAGAAAUAGUGAUAGUGAAGAAUCAUAGAGAUUUGGUAAAGGCACUUACAAUGGCAUUAAAGGGGUAUGAGAACCGUAUUGAAGGAACAUUGUGUCUGUGUCAUGGAUUGAAUUGCGUCCCCAAAAAUGUCUCAGCUUGGUUAGGUAUUUCUGUUAUAGCAGCACUAGAUGACUAAGGCAGUCUGGCUGGAGGAUAGGUGAUGAAAGGCUAAAAGAAGGUAACGCUUCAAGCUGGGUCUGAAAUGAUGUGCAGGAGUUAUCCAGGUGGGAAAUGGGCAGAGUGGAGUGGGAUAUCAGGGGAGGACAACAGCACGAGCAAGGGCAUAGGGGGUGAGAGUCAAUGGUGAGGAAAAGAGUGGUCAAACUGGCAUGGCACCAAGGGAUAUCUCCUGAGAGAAGGUAAUGUGCAGGAGAAUGGGAGCAGGGACAGACCGUGAUAUUGCCUGUGAGCAAUACAGAGUUGAUGAAAUAUCAAAUGUAUGGACUAAAGGGUAUGCCAAGCAAUCAUUUUUUUACUAUCCUCAGUAUGCAACAUAGGGCCCAGCACAAAAUGCAUAAGUUAUCAACGAAGGCACAGUAGUUAAGAGCUCGGCUGCUAACCAAAAGGUCAGCAGUUCAAAUCCACCAGCUGCUGCUUAGAAAUCCUAUGGGGCAGUUCUACUCUGUCCUAUAGGGUUGUUAUGAGCCAGAAUCAACUAGAUGGCAACAGGAUUGGUUUGCUUUUUUGAAUGUCUCAAGAAAAAAAAAUUAUCAAGUAAAACAAAACAAUUUCACUUAGCACUAAGCCUGGCACAUAGUAUGUAUUCAGCAAACAUUGGAUGAAUGACUGAAUGAGUUAAUAAAUGAAACUCACCAGCUCUUCUUUUACAUGUUUAAAAAACAUUUUUCUACCAUGUAGACAAAUGCUCUAAGGUGGGCAGGAAGUCACAGAAACGUUCACUUGUUGAUUUUAAUCCUAAAUUAUGAGACUGGUACUGUACAGAUGCAGCUACAAAGACAUACUGCUCAUUAGAAAUUAAUAUGGCUGAUGAAAUUCUCCUCAAUUAUUAAUAUUGAUGUUGUCUUAGUCAUCUAGUGCUGCUGUAACAGAAAUACCACAAGUGGAUGGUUUUAACAAACAAAUUUAUUCUCUCACAGUCUAGGAGGCUAGAAGUCGGAAUUCAGGGCGCCAGCUCCAGGGAAGGGCUUUCUCUCUCUCUCUCAGCCCUGGGGGGAGGUCCUUGUCAUCAAUCUUCCCCUGGUCUAGGAGCUUCUCAGCACAGGGACCCCGGUCCAAAGGACACUGUCAUCUCCUGGCCCUUGUUUCUUGGUGGUAUGAGGUCUCCUCUCUUCUUCUCAUUUUUCUCUUCUAUAUCUCAAAAGAGAUUGGCUUAAGACCAAACCUAAUCCUACUCCUGCCUCAUUAACAUCAUAGAAGUCGGGUUUACAACAAACAGGAAAACCACAUCAGAGGACAAAACAGUGGACAAUCACACAGUACCGGGAAUCACGGCCCAGCCAGGUUGACAGAUACUCUGAGGGGGUACAAUUCCAUCCAUAACAGAUAUCUUUCUCCUUCUGAACGGUAUGUUUUGUGGACUAUCUGUUAGUUGAUGGUCCAGAUGUGUAGGCUGAGGCUGCCUAUUGUAUUGUUGUUGUGAUUUGUUUUGAUGUAUAAAAACAUUUACCUUAUGUUUCUGAUCAGAUAUUACAAAAAACUCUCCCCAGCCUACUGUUUUCUUCAAAACACAAACCAACAAAAACCUGCCAUGCCUGACUGCCAUUGUUCAGUUCAUUUGGCAACAGUGACUUUAACAGUAUUUGUGGCAUUGUCUGUCAUCAUCAGAAAUCUUGAUUUUCCCCAGAGUAAAGUCAUAGCGUAUUCAUUGUUUGCUCUUUCAGUGUGUGAUGCCCGGAUGUCCCAAGGAGAGUUUCUGGGUGAAUUUACCUGUCGGUUCACGGGAUUUGUCAUAGCAGCCAGAGGCCCGAGGUUUUAUUGAACACUGACUAACCGAGGCAUGCCUAAACAGAACGCAAGAAACUCAGUUGCCAGAGUUUAAGUUUGACCAAAGUUUAGCCUUAAAAACCUAACCGCUCCUAAAUUAAAACUUCCCUGUAACCUUAUUAUCUACCGGUGGUGUCAUGGAUUGAAUCGUGUCACCAAAAAAAGUGUGUAAAUUUGGCUAGGCUAUGAUUCCCAGUAUUGUGUGCUUGUCCACCAUUUUGUCAUCUGAUGUGAUUUUCCUAUGUGUUAUAAAUCCUACCUCUAUGAUGUUAAUGAGGUGGGAUUAGUGGAAGUUAUGUUAUUGAGGGAGGAUUCAAUCUACAAGAUUAGGUUGUGUCUUAAAUCAAUCUCUUUUGAGACAUAAAAGAGAGAAGGGAGCAGAGAGACAUGGGGACUUCAUACCAUCAAGAAACAAGAGCCAGGAGAAUAGCACAUCCUCUGAACCCAUGGCCUCUGAGCUGAGAAGCUCCUCAACUGGAGAAGAUUGAUGACAAGGACAUUCCCCCAGAGCUGACAGAGAAAGCCUUCCCCUGGAUUCAAACUUCUAGCCUCCUAGACUGUGAGAGAAUAAAUUUCUCUUUGUUAAAGACAUACACUUAUGGCAUUUCUGUUACAGCAGCACUAGAUGACUAAGACAGGUGGGAUAAGUAGGGUUCCUUUGUGAUCCAAAGCACCUCAUUAACCUACAGUCUCAUUUAUAGUGUAGUCCUGAAGCAAAAAUUCUGAAAGUGGGAAUAUUCUUCCUGAGCCUCUAUCGUUCACCUUGUUCUCAUUCUUGUUUCCACCCAUCCUCGUUGUCCACUCCAAAUGAUGAAAAAUAUCAAGAACAUAAGGCUACCAAAGAAACUGCGGAGGGCAGAAACACAAUAUAAAGAGUUUAAUAAUUAUGUUCCCCAGAGCUAUACGAUGUUGUUAAGACAAUUUAUGUGCCUUACUUUCCAUGACUUGAUUACAAGUGCUUUCUGCCUGAAGCUGGAGGUAUUACUAGCCAAACUUCUCUUUCCCAUAUGAACAGUGUUGUUGUUGUUGUUGUUGUUGUUGUUGUUGGGUGCCAUUGCAUCAGUUCCGACUCAGAGAGCCUAUGUGCAACAGGGGGAAACGCAGGCCAAUCCUGUGCCAUGCUCACGAUCCUUACUGUUUAAGUCUAUUGUUGCAGCCACUGUGUCAAUCCAUCUAGCUGAAGGUCUUCCUCUUUUUCACUGACGCUCUACUUUGCCAAGCAUGAUGUCUUUCUCCAGGGACUGGUCCCUCCUGAUAAUAUGUCCAAAGUACAUACAAUAAAUGGACAAUAAACACAGGUAUAUUGAAUCCGUGAGGGAGGAGGAUGUAAGGGAAGGUUGUAGAGGGACAGAAUACCUGGGUUCUCAUUCUAGCUCCUCCACCUGUUACCAGCCCGUAACUCGGGGAGUGAGCCAUUUAUUAUCACUGAUUCCGUUUUAUCAUGUGUAAAUGUCUAUGAUCCUUUCUGCCUUGCCUCCCUAACAGAACUAUUGUUAGUAAUGAAUGACUUCAUGUCAAAGCACUUUGAGAACCCUAAUGUGCUAUAUGGAUAACAAGUAUUAUUACUGCUUUAAUUUAGGUCCUGAUAGUAUAUAAAUAAGAAAUAUUACAAAAAAUAAGUACCCCAAGACUAGCAAGCAAUAGUUCAAAGUUCUUGAGGGUGUAAUCAUAAAACUGAGACACAAUAAUGAUGCUUCUAAAGUUGGCCAAAUUUAUACAAAUACAAAAAUUCAAUGGUGAAACAAUUCUCUUGGAUGAGAAACCUUUGCUAUUAGGAUCAUUUAGUAAUGAGUCAGUGGAAUUAGGCAGUAAGAGACUUGGCACGUGGAUUUAGUGGGACCACUGGGUUUCUGCUAGGGACCUUGUGAUGGUUAAUUUCAUGUGUCAGCUAGGGUAUGACUCACAGUGGCUUAGCCAAACACUAGACUAGUUGCUGUUCCAUAAUAUGAAGUAGUGUAAUGUAACCACUUUCCAUUGUAUAAUUUAAUGUAAUCAAUCAAUCAGUUGGGAGGAGGAGUUCCUUAGGAUGUGGUCUGCCUCCAGGCUAUAAAUGGGUAUUUUGACAGAACUCACUCUCUGUCUCUCUCCACGUUGCAUUCUUCCCAUCUCCUGAUAUAGGGAUCUUGACAUGAAAACCUGCAGAAGUCUGCAGUCUGCUGCCUGACCUGUGGAUUCUGCCUUUGAAGGCCAAAUUUUAUUUCUAGUCCUUAGACUCAUUAGCAGUAUAACCACAGAGCCACACUGAGCUUAUUUCCAAAAUAAAUAAGUUAGAUUAUUAUCAUUAGGUGUUGUCAAGUUGGUUCUGACUCACAGUGAUCCUGUGUACAACAGAAUGAAACACGGCCCAGUCCUGCACCAUCCUCACAACCACUGUUAUGCUUGAGCCCAUUGUUGCAGCCACUGUGUCAACCCACCUCAUUGAGGGUCUUCCUCUUUUUUGCUGAUCCUCUACUUUACCAAGCAUGAUGUUCUGCUUCAGUGACUGGUCCCUCCUGAUAACAUGCCCAAAGUACCUGAGAUGAAGUCUUGCCAUCCUUGCUUCCAAGGAGCAUUCUGGCUGUACUUCUUCUAAGUUCGAUUGGUUUGUUCUUCUGACAGUCCAUAGUAUAGACAGGCUGGAUAGAUUAGACAGACAGAUAAAUAAAAGCUGACUAUCCUUCUUUCUCCUAGACUAUGAACUCUGUGAGAGUAGUGAAGACGAUAACAUAUCAUUUCACAUUUCUAACCCAGUUAUGUAGCUUACCAUAGGCACAGAGUGGACAUCCAAUAAGUGUUCAUUAAAUGAAUAAAUAUGAUCCCAGGGGACCUCUCCACGUACAAUUUAACACUUGUUUGCUCCUCUGAGCUCUUGCAUGGAGCAAACUUGCCGGCACACUCUCCACCAGGCACUGUUUGUGGUGAACAAUUCAGUGCUGGUGGCUUACCAUGAAUUCCCCACCUUGCUGGGAGUUCUGUGGCC